UGGAGUCGUCCUUGAAAUACCACCCUUGUAGUUUUGAUGUUCUAACGUUGGUCCCUGAAUCGGGAUUACGGACAGUGCCUGGUGGGUAGUUUGACUGGGGCGGUCUCCUCCCAAAGAGUAACGGAGGAGCACGAAGGUGGGCUAAACACGGUUGGACAUCGUGUGGUUAGUGCAAUGGCAUAAGCCCGCUUGACUGCGAGAAUGACAAUUCGAGCAGGUGCGAAAGCAGGUCAUAGUGAUCCGGUGGUUCUGAAUGGAAGGGCCAUCGCUCAACGGAUAAAAGGUACUCCGGGGAUAACAGGCUGAUACCGCCCAAGAGUUCAUAUCGACGGCGGUGUUUGGCACCUCGAUGUCGGCUCAUCACAUCCUGGGGCUGAAGUCGGUCCCAAGGGUAUGGCUGUUCGCCAUUUAAAGUGGUACGCGAGCUGGGUUUAGAACGUCGUGAGACAGUUCGGUCCCUAUCUGCCGUGGGCGUUGGAAAAUUGAAAGGGGCUGCUCCUAGUACGAGAGGACCGGAGUGGACGAACCUCUGGUGUUCGGGUUGUCAUGCCAAUGGCAUUGCCCGGUAGCUAAGUUCGGAAUCGAUAACCGCUGAAAGCAUCUAAGCGGGAAGCGAGCCUUGAGAUGAGUUUUCCCUGGCACUAUAAGUGUCCUAAAGGGUUGUCGUAGACUACGACGUUGAUAGGCAGGG
RNAcentral lists this ribosomal RNA (691 nucleotides) under Vibrio cyclitrophicus FF75. RNAcentral's name for it is "bacterial LSU rRNA". It matches the Rfam family "Bacterial large subunit ribosomal RNA", at positions 2181 to 2865 of the family's 2925-position model. Lineage: Bacteria; Pseudomonadati; Pseudomonadota; Gammaproteobacteria; Vibrionales; Vibrionaceae. The record is from RNAcentral.